Molecule: small RNA, 310 nt
Filed under: Arabidopsis thaliana (thale cress)
Lineage: Eukaryota; Viridiplantae; Streptophyta; Magnoliopsida; Brassicales; Brassicaceae
Description: ATSL088220
Source: RNAcentral
UAUUAUAUGAUGAUUUUGCAACUUUCCAUAUAUAGAAAUAGAAAGAGAUAGACUAGAAACGACAUCUCUUAUGUCAAUGACACCAAAGGGAUAUUAAAUGAAUGGAAUUGGGAUAUGGAUAGAAUAUAAUGAAAUAAAUAGAGCCGCUUUGAGGUUCCCUAUGAAAUGAGGCAUGGAACGGAGCCACUACGAAGAAGUUCCGGGGGUUACGAAGGAAACUUCGAGUUCAUAUUGGUCAUGUGGGUUGAGAACGGGAAUUGAACUCUAUAAGAUCUAAUCUCCCAUUGUUCCUCAGUAGCUCAGUGGUAGA